ACAGGUCUCGUAGGUAUAACAGGUCUAGCAGGUAUAACAGGUCUCGUAGGUAUAACAGGUCUAGUAGGUAUAACAGGUCUCGUAGGUAUAACAGGUCUCGUAGGUUUAACAGGUCUCGUAGGUAUAACAGGUCUCGUAGGUAUAACAGGUCUCGUAGGUAUAACAGGUCUAGUAGGUAUAACAGGUCUAGCAGGUAUAACAGGUCUAGCAGGUAUAACAGGUCUAGUAGGUAUAACAGGUCU
Molecule: long non-coding RNA, 242 nt
Organism: Oncorhynchus tshawytscha (Chinook salmon)
Lineage: Eukaryota; Metazoa; Chordata; Actinopteri; Salmoniformes; Salmonidae
Exons: 2
Source: RefSeq, a predicted model, not a curated record